CUAGGGAGGCUGGUACACUUGGCAAGCCCGUGCGUCUUUUCUUCUGCUCCUCCUCUGUCCCCUACCCUAGCCUCUCUGCACUCUGGGGCAUUGUCAGCCUGGACCCAUCCCUGCUUCUGAGGACUGGAAAUGCCAGUAUCUGUGGAUGUCACCAGAAGGAAAGGCGCCUGAGCUGCCUCUGAGAGGGAGCAGUCAGAACAAGGAGGGCUAGAGAAAAGCUUCAGCAGGACUGGCAAAGGGAACGGGAACUUCAACAAUUGCUAGAAAACCCAGCUACAUCCUUCAAUCAAGCUACUGGGUAGUGGUUUUUAUUUCUAAGGCUGGGGCAAGCACUCCCUGGACACUGGGCUGAGAAUUGAGGAGCGCUCCAUCUCCACAAAGCUGGUUUCCUAAGGGCCCAGCGCUGCCUUGGUCACUGUGCGAGAUGCAAGAGGGUGGUAUGCCUCCACCCCUCAACCUGCUUGGAACCUUGCAGAGGAGACAAGCCAGCGUGGCAAUUGGAGCUGAGAAAACACAAGGACUUUGCGUGGAGUAUGCAUGAGCAGGGGUGUGGGGAAAAGAGAGCUCUGGGUGGGCUGGCAGUCAAUCAACUCCUAUUCCUUAACUAUGUACAGCAAUUGACAAAG
Molecule: long non-coding RNA, 626 nt
Organism: Suricata suricatta (meerkat)
Lineage: Eukaryota; Metazoa; Chordata; Mammalia; Carnivora; Herpestidae
Exons: 3
Source: RefSeq, a predicted model, not a curated record